Molecule: unclassified non-coding RNA, 391 nt
Filed under: soil metagenome
Description: partial contains 5.8S ribosomal RNA, internal transcribed spacer 2, and large subunit ribosomal RNA
Rfam family: 5.8S ribosomal RNA (bases 1-122)
Source: RNAcentral
GAUGAAGAACGUAGCGAAAUGCGAUACUUGGUGUGAAUUGCAGAAUCCCGUGAACCAUCGAGUCUUUGAACGCAAGUUGCGCCCGAAGCCACUAGGCCGAGGGCACGCCUGCCUGGGCGUCACACGCCGUUGCCCCCCCAUCUACUCCUUCGGGAUUGCGGGGUGGCGGAUGAUGGCCUCCCGUGCGCCUAGCCGCGCGGUUGGCAUAAAUACCAAGUCCUCGGCGACGCACGCCACGACAAUCGGUGGUUGCGAAACCUCGGUUGCCCGUCGUGUGCGUUCGUCGCGCAUCGAGGGCUCGAAAAAAUGCUCGGCUCCGGCUGGGCUUUCAACGCGACCCCAGGUCAGGCGGGGUUACCCGCUGAAUUUAAGCAUAUCAAUAAGCGGAGGA